CCUCCCGGCAUGAUCCACCAUCUGAAGCUGAUGACAUGCAUCUUGUCUGACUUCCCAUUAAAACAAAGCUCCAUGAGGACAGGGACCACACUGCGUCAUCCAUCCUAGGCCAGGCACGGGGCAGGAGCUCGGCCAACGCCAGGGGUGUCAUGGGUUACACCCGACACUAGUUUCCAAACAGACCCGAAGAGCCUCAGGGCACACAAACGGUUGGAACUCAGCCAUUAUCCACCAGCUGCCGUAAGACGUGUGAGAAAAAGCCGGCCAAAGAGCUUACCACAAAAUGCAGCAAUUCAUUCCAUCAGCCAGCGGCAAAGGAUCUUAGAAAAUAAAGCUGUGCUCAUCAGUGGCUCUCCCGCAGCAAAGAGAAGAGCGCGGCGUCCGCGCUUCCCCAAAAGGGAAUUCUGGCUUUGCACCCGGCAGGCAGGAGAGCGGAACAUCCGACACCAGGCAAGGCCGGCCCGGCUCUGUGUGGGGAGUGUGGGAGUGUCACACCAGUUUUAGGCUCAAUCUGCACACAGGAGUCGAGCUUUGUUUUUGUGUGUUUAAGACAGAGUCUCACUCCGUCGCCCAGGCUGGAGCGCACAGUCUCAGCUCACUGCAACCUCCGCCUCCCAGGUUCAAGCGAUUCUCCUGACUCCACCUCCUGAGUAACUUGGAUUACAGGCGCCCGCCACCACGCCCCGCUAAUUUUUGUAUUUCCAGUAGAGACAGGGUUUCACCAUAUGGGCCAGGCUGGUCUCAAACUCCUGACCUCAGGUGAUCCGUCCACCUUGGCCUCCCAAAGGGCUGCGAUUAUAGGCACGAGCCACCGUGCCCGGCCCAGCUUUAGUUUUUGAGCUAAGACCAGCAGGCAAGAAAGAGCAGCUGGCCAGGCAGGGCGCCCAGAGAGGUUCCUUCCCAGGUGAAAUGCCCACUUCACAGACAGAGCUGCGAUGCCUGUAGCUCCAUCCCGGAAGCUGUGUAUCAGAUGCCACCAGCGCCCACGGGGGAUAUUCUCAUCCCAGGGCUACAGUGGGAUUAUCUUCUCCCCUCAUUAGCUGAGCGGGAUAGAAAAUAAAACCCCGAAGCUAUAGCUUACAGGACACGCAACUCCGCAGAAGCAAUGCGAGGAACCCCACCCAGAAAAGCCAAAGCCACCUCGUACCCGUCCCCAGGACUCACUUCCCGGGGACUUACCAGCUCCACCAGGAAGGCAGGGACCACUCCGCCCGCUUUGGAGAAGGCCCAGGGGAAGUUGAGCAGGCCAGCUCCCAGCGCGGACUUCAUGAGGAUGAAGACAGCGCCCAUCGAGGACAGAGUGGCAGCAGCCGUGGCAGGAAAGGCCCACCCAGAUAAUCCAAGAUGAUCCCAUCUCAAGAUCGUUACUUAUAUCUGCAAAGACCCUUUUUCCAAAUAACGUUAACAGUCACAGGUUCCAGGGCGUGGCAUAAAUCUCUCUACUGGGGGCCACCAUUCAGCCCACUACACCCCUCACAUCUGAGAUCUGUUUGAGUUCUCAUCAGUCAUUCAACAAACACUGAGUGCCUACUGUAUGCAGGCACUGGAGCUCAAAGGUGAAAGAGAAGGCUCCUCCAGAGAAGGGGACGGUCCCGUGGGGAGCUCAAGAAGAGACAAGCCACCCAAGCCCAAUGGGAGGACCGGACUACGAGACCCAAGAAUGGAGGUGAAUCUGGAGGGGCUUCCUGGAGAAAGUGUGGGGGCUGAGGGGAUAUCUGUGCACCAUUGGUGAAGGGCUGGGAGGAUGUUCUGGGAAGUGGAGACUCCCAGUGGCAGGUGCAUGAGCCAGUGCUCCCGGGAAGGGCCCCGGGGACUGGGGUUCCCUAGGAUAGAGACCUAGGUCAGCGCUGAGCUGGGAAAAGGCUUAAACUCUUGUGUCCCACUCGCUGGAGGGUCACUAAACCAUGUGGAGAUGGCACUGGACACAGCAGGGAAGGAGGGGGCUGCGGGUGACACCGCAGGCAGGGCCCGUGCAGUACCCAGGCUGGGAGAGGGCGGGGACCACACGCAGUAUUCACACAGCUCUCCGAGGCCUGCCAAAGAGGCCAAGUCAUUCCCGCUUCCCCCCAAAUCCAGCCUCCUGAGAAAGGAGAUAAAGGGCCCUUCAGCAGCGGCUGGGGGCUUUGCAGUCCUUAAUCUCCGCUCGGGGGCUGGGGGGACACUUCCCUGUCCCUGCCGGUGGGU
Molecule: long non-coding RNA, 2184 nt
Organism: Homo sapiens (human)
Lineage: Eukaryota; Metazoa; Chordata; Mammalia; Primates; Hominidae
Source: Ensembl